Molecule: small nuclear RNA, 184 nt
Organism: Dermacentor silvarum
Lineage: Eukaryota; Metazoa; Arthropoda; Arachnida; Ixodida; Ixodidae
Product: U2 spliceosomal RNA
Exons: 1
Source: RefSeq, a predicted model, not a curated record
UUGUCUCCGUCCGCAACCUCCUGCUCGUGUCACAUGUAGUAUAUGUAUCGGCUUAAUAUCUGUUAUGGGUUCUAUUUGGACCCAAGAUAAUAAGCUUAUUUUUGCAAGUUGGCGGAGUGCUUGAAUUCACCUCAGCCGCGAGUCGGCCUGGUAUUUUACGAUCCUCGGGAUCGGCGCACGGCUU